Hemicordylus capensis (graceful crag lizard) is the source of this 3282-nucleotide long non-coding RNA. RefSeq lists it as uncharacterized. NCBI's taxonomy places the organism in Eukaryota, Metazoa, Chordata, Lepidosauria, Squamata, Cordylidae. The record is from RefSeq and is a predicted model, not a curated record. The transcript has 3 exons.
UUUUAUUUGCCCAAGACGGGCACGAAUAAAUAAACAGGCGAGUAGAUUUCUCAUUGGCUGACAGCCGAGGUUCUCCCCUCCCUCCUUCCGUGCGCCGCCUUCCCGUCCUAACCGUUCCUCCUCGCGCUCUGCCUCCGGCGGCCGUUCGUUGGUCCCACCUCCCAGCGUGUAAAGCCGCGUGACGAAGGCGGGCCGGCCGCCGCGCCAAAGCCCACGCGGAGGGAAACGUGUACUGGGCGCGGCCUCUGCGCUUGGCCCUCCCGCCCGACCUGGUCUGGCCUAACUUAGCCACGGCCGCGGGGGGAGGGGGGGGGCGAGGGGAGAAGGGGCAUGACCGCCUCGUGCUCCCUCUCACUCCCGAGCCUCCGGCCAGGUUCCGCCCUCCGCCCGGGUGUGUCUAGCUGGCGGCGCCCGCUGCGGUCAAAGCUCUGCUGCUCCUGACGGGGCAGGGCGGGUCCGUCUGGGACGGUCACGGGCUUGUUGGAAAGGGUGCGGAAGGGAGAGGCUGUCUCGGCGGCGGAAAGCAAACCCAAAGCCGAGCGCUUUCGCAAGGCAUGUUACGAGCGGGAGACCCAUGGCUGGAUUUCCUACCUUAACAAACAAACAAACACCACUAUCACCGUGCCUCGGGGCUUGCUCCAUUAUGCGAGGCGGGGGAGAGGGUUGCUUACCGCCUCACCCUCCAGCUGCGCCAUUUUCCCCAUCGGAAUCCCGCACACGUGCCAGAAUCCCACGGUGGCAGGUCCUUAAUUGGGCUUUUCUUACCAUCAACAUGUAAACUGAAUACUGAGGAAUCCAAACAGGGAAGGAAACUAAUCUCUGGAGUAUACAGAAUUGCCAGCGAAGACACUCAACACUGGGGGGAAAACCCCUCAAAAGAACUUUCUUGCUUGUAAUGUUAGGGGCGGGAGUAGGGAAGAGGCACUACCACGUCUGCUAACAAGAUGUGUCAAUCUCUUGGAAUACCAUGUGUUACAAAAAUGCCCUGGAGAACAAAACCUCACUAGGAACAGAGUUUACAGCAGCCUUGCUUAGCUGUCAUUUGAUGCCAUUGAGAGAAUAUUAGAUGACACCAGAUUCAAAGAUGUGCACUCCCUUUAGGACACACAGGAGUAACACGUAAAGUGUGAUUGCAUAAUUAAUAUUGCACGACUGUAUAAAAAACAUAAAUACUAGCUAUCCAAAGUUUUUUUAAAUACAAAAUACAUGUCACAUACUAUUUUAGUCAAUAAUUCUUUUCAAGUGCAAUUUAGGUGCGUCCUUCACUCCUUCCUAUAAAAAGGCAUUUUUGGCACCAAUGUAACCCUCUCCCCAAUAAUGUGCCAAUAUACAUAAACCCAUACUUUCUUAUAGCAAUCUUCUAUACAUACAGUAUAUAAAAAAGAGUUAUUUACAUAAUGAGCCAGGCAUACACAGAAGCAGCUUUAAGGGUUGAAUUUCACUCUUGUUAUGAAGGGACACACACACUCACGCAAGCCACGCAUUAGAGUUAUGCUGGUUGCUGUGGGUUCACAUUGAUAGAAGAAGGAUGCCCUAGGAGACCAAUGCGCUGUUUUUGCUUCCUCUGCUCUGUCAUCUGGAAAAUUGAAACAUUUACUCAGUAGACAUAAGCACCUCCUGUAUGCCAGACCACAGAGCAAGCUAUUGCUGUUAUACUGUGGUCAAGGUUUAUUCUGAAACAAAGAGCACCCUCCCAUCUGAUACAACCAACACAAUUAGAGAAAAACAGAGACAACCCCCACCUGCCCACACACCAGUAUGGAGAAUCCAAAGAGAGCACCCAAGACUUCAAUGGCCUCCAGAAUCCAGUAAUGGCAACUUGAAAAUGCAUCUCAGGCUCUUAGGAGCUUGCCUACUGAGUAUUUACAAUGAGCUGGUUCAAACAAUAAAUGUUCCAUCUGCACGGGGAGUCCCGAGGCACAUACUUGUGUGGGCAAAUGUAAUAUUCGAACCAAUGAUCACAGCAAAUUCUGUAACUGUGGCAUUUUAGUCAGCUGCCCCAGUGGUGAAAAUUGCUGUUAGAUGUGUGAACAGAGCAAUGAGUAUGACAUUUCAUUUGUCUGGGGGUUGUCAGGACUUCUCACAAUGACUAAAUAUAUUGGCUGAAUCUCUGGACUGAAAUUCUGAAGAACAGCAUAUAGAUAGAUAAGCUUUAUUACGAUCGUAGAUCAGACUGUACAACAACAAAAACAUUACAUAAAACUAGAGCAUAUAAUACAAACAACGUAGCAGAACCUAGCCACCUUGAAACUGAUCUCUUUACAAAAGUUAGAUAACAAAAACUCUAAAUAAAAUUCAUCGGAGUGACCUGGAAACUUCACCAAAAGGGGAGUAAUUAAUUUUAAAUGAGCAUCACUAUAAAAUUUACAAUAUAAAAUAACAUGAAGGGUAGUUUCUAUGGCGCCCAUUCCACAGGGACAAAUCCUUAAAUUAAACUGAAUCCCUUUAUAUCUACCAUCCCUAACCGCCGUUGGAAGGGCGUUUAGGCGGGCAAGAGUAAAUGGACGCCUAAAUUUAGGGAUAAAAAUAUUAUCUAAAUACGCUGCUGGAUUGGAAUUAAAAAGUUGUUUCCCCAGACAGAUGCCACUCCUUAGAUUAGGACAUGAUCAGGCCUGGCAGGUUAUUAAGUAGCAUAUUGCUGAUACAGAAUUACAAGUGGAUACAGCCUACCUAAGAAUUUCCUCAUGGGAGAACCCAAAUUGAAGAAGUUUGUUUUUAACCAAGGUCUUCCACUUAUAAUUAAAGUCAUCAAUCAUUACUAAGGAAGCCAGCAUUACAUUAAAAACAUAAUUUUUCUGGGUUUGGAGCACUAACUCCAAAGGCUAACUAAUAUUAUCAGUAGAGAGAGCAGUUGGUACACUGGCCCUCAACUAUAACAUGCUUAAACCAUGUAAAAGAACUCUUGAAGGAGUGAAUCUUGAAUAAAUAAGUGCUCCUGUUUCAGUGUCAAACCUGAAGUAAAUUGGUAUUUUCUGGUUCAGACCGGUGUAUCUUCAUUUGCCCGAGUAAUUAACAGGUCAGGCUUUUUUUUUUUUUUUUUUAAAGAGCUCUGGCUACAUGACAAUGGAAUUCUGUUAUACAUACAUACAUACGCACACACACACACAAAUAAAUAUUUUAAAUAUGACAGGUGGAAUGGUUCUGCUUCUGUUGAUCUUUGUAUAAACUCUGGAGGUCACUCAACCUCUUGCAAUUUGUGUAUUAUGGGCUUUAAAAAAAGGGGGUUGUUUUUAAUUAUAUGUACAUGUUUGCAUAUGGUAAUAAAAUGUAAAAUUACUCGUA